Molecule: unclassified non-coding RNA, 128 nt
Filed under: uncultured fungus
Lineage: Eukaryota; Fungi
Description: sequence contains ITS1
Source: RNAcentral
AGUAAUGAUUUAACAUCACACACUUGUAAACGAUUGGGGAUUGCUGGCCGUAAAACGCCGGCGGUCGUCAUGAAUUAACAAACCAUAUUGUUGUAAUUAUUUACCAAAUAUUAUGAUAAAUUCUAAUA